Molecule: ribosomal RNA, 817 nt
Filed under: Acinetobacter sp.
Lineage: Bacteria; Pseudomonadati; Pseudomonadota; Gammaproteobacteria; Moraxellales; Moraxellaceae
Description: bacterial SSU rRNA
Rfam family: Bacterial small subunit ribosomal RNA
Source: RNAcentral
GCCGCGUGUGUGAAGAAGGCCUUAUGGUUGUAAAGCACUUUAAGCGAGGAGGAGGCUACUUUAGUUAAUACCUAGAGAUAGUGGACGUUACUCGCAGAAUAAGCACCGGCUAACUCUGUGCCAGCAGCCGCGGUAAUACAGAGGGUGCAAGCGUUAAUCGGAUUUACUGGGCGUAAAGCGCGCGUAGGCGGCUAAUUAAGUCAAAUGUGAAAUCCCCGAGCUUAACUUGGGAAUUGCAUUCGAUACUGGUUAGCUAGAGUGUGGGAGAGGAUGGUAGAAUUCCAGGUGUAGCGGUGAAAUGCGUAGAGAUCUGGAGGAAUACCGAUGGCGAAGGCAGCCAUCUGGCCUAACACUGACGCUGAGGUGCGAAAGCAUGGGGAGCAAACAGGAUUAGAUACCCUGGUAGUCCAUGCCGUAAACGAUGUCUACUAGCCGUUGGGGCCUUUGAGGCUUUAGUGGCGCAGCUAACGCGAUAAGUAGACCGCCUGGGGAGUACGGUCGCAAGACUAAAACUCAAAUGAAUUGACGGGGGCCCGCACAAGCGGUGGAGCAUGUGGUUUAAUUCGAUGCAACGCGAAGAACCUUACCUGGCCUUGACAUAGUAAGAACUUUCCAGAGAUGGAUUGGUGCCUUCGGGAACUUACAUACAGGUGCUGCAUGGCUGUCGUCAGCUCGUGUCGUGAGAUGUUGGGUUAAGUCCCGCAACGAGCGCAACCCUUUUCCUUAUUUGCCAGCGAGUAAUGUCGGGAACUUUAAGGAUACUGCCAGUGACAAACUGGAGGAAGGCGGGGACGACGUCAAGUCAUCAUGGCCCUUA